AUGGCAGCCCCCAUAUCUCAGGGGUUGUCUCUUUUAUCAAGGGUUUUGGGCUGGUGAUCUCCGCAGCCAGUUCUGGUGAGUCAGUCUGCAGCUAUAGUUCCAGUAAGAACUAAAAAACGUUUCACACCUCCUAUUUAUCAACCUAAAUACAAAACAGAAAAGGAGUUUAUGAAACACGCCUGGAAAGCAGGACUGGUUAUUCCUCCAGAACGUCUGGAUCAUCCCAUACAUCUGUCCUGUACAGCUGGUAUCUUUGAUGCCUAUGUUCCUCCUGAGGGUGAUGCUCACAUGCCAUCUCUUUCAAAGGAAGGACUGAAACAGAGAACUGAACAAAUGAAGAAGAAUGUGGCAUCACAAUUUUCAAUCCAGAAGAUAAAAGAGGAUGACGACAAUUUUGAAACAAAGGACUUUCCUGAAAAAGCUAAGGAUAUAUUUACUGAAGUUCACCUUUGUCUAAACAACUCACACAUGACUGACUGCAUACCUUGGUAACUGAGCACUGUUUUCCAGACAUGAUCUGAGACAUCAAAUAUAAGACCAUCCGCUGGAGCUUCCUGGAAUCUUUAGAGCCCCACCAUGUGGUUCAAGUUCGCUGUUCAAGUCUGAUGAACCAGGGCAACAUAUACGGCUAGUCACCGUAGGCAUGCACACCCAGCAGACUCUGGCCAUCUGUGACUGGUUUGGCCGGUUGAUGUAUGGACAGGAAGAUGUACCCAAGAAUGUCCUGGAGUAUGUUGUAUUUGAAAAGCACCUGACAAACCCCUAUGGAAGCUGGAGAAUGCAUGGCAAGAUCGUUCCCCCAUGGGCACCCGCUAAGCACCAUCCUUAAGAUGGUUAUGAUCCCUGGCCCUCAGCUGAAACCAGGGGAAGAAUAUGAAGAGGCACAAGGAGAGGCCCAGAAGCCUCAGCUAGCC
Molecule: long non-coding RNA, 914 nt
Filed under: Homo sapiens (human)
Lineage: Eukaryota; Metazoa; Chordata; Mammalia; Primates; Hominidae
Description: non-protein coding lnc-FOXI3-8:1
Source: RNAcentral